This 450-nucleotide ribosomal RNA is filed under the name uncultured Sphingobacteriales bacterium. RNAcentral's name for it is "bacterial SSU rRNA". It matches the Rfam family "Bacterial small subunit ribosomal RNA", at positions 930 to 1382 of the family's 1533-position model. The record is from RNAcentral. Lineage: Bacteria; Pseudomonadati; Bacteroidota; Sphingobacteriia; Sphingobacteriales.
CGGUGGAGCAUGUGGUUUAAUUCGAUGAUACGCGAGGAACCUUACCUGGGCUCAAAUGUAUGUUGACGUAUUCUGAAAGGGAUACUUCUUCGGACAAUAUACAAGGUGCUGCAUGGUUGUCGUCAGCUCGUGCCGUGAGGUGUCGGGUUAAGUCCCAUAACGAGCGCAACCCCUAUCAUUAGUUGCCAUCAGGUCAAGCUGGGGACUCUAAUGAAACUGCCUACGCAAGUAGUGAGGAAGGUGGGGAUGACGUCAAAUCAGCACGGCCCUUACGUCCAGGGCUACACACGUGCUACAAUGGCCGGUACAAAGGGCAGCUACCUGGUGACAGGAUGCUAAUCUCAAAAGCCGGUCUCAGUUCGGAUCGGAGUCUGCAACCCGACUCCGUGAGGCUGGAAUCGCUAGUAAUCGCGCAUCAGCCAUGGCGCGGUGAAUACGUUCCCGGGCCUU